GACGAACGCUGGCGGCGUGCCUAACACAUGCAAGUCGAGCGGAGAUGUGGAGUAGUUUACUACGAAGCAUUUUAGCGGCGGACGGGUGAGUAACGCGUGGGCAACCUGCCUUUUACUGGGGGAUAACACAGGGAAACUUGUGCUAAUACCGCAUAACAUCACGAGAGGACAUCCUCUUGUGAUCAAAGGAGUAAUCCGGUAGAAGAUGGGCCCGCGUCCGAUUAGCUAGUUGGUGGUGUAACGGACCACCAAGGCGACGAUCGGUAGCCGAACUGAGAGGUUGAUCGGCCACAUUGGGACUGAGACACGGCCCAGACUCCUACGGGAGGCAG
This 332-nucleotide ribosomal RNA is filed under the name uncultured Bacillota bacterium. RNAcentral's name for it is "bacterial SSU rRNA". It matches the Rfam family "Bacterial small subunit ribosomal RNA", at positions 28 to 351 of the family's 1533-position model. The record is from RNAcentral. Lineage: Bacteria; Bacillati; Bacillota.